UCUGCAUAUCGUGCAAAUGAGCUACACACUGCUGUCCAUCAAACGCUUACAGGUUUGCGUUCAGUAUCGCUGACACUUCUGUUACCAGUUAUGAUGUUAAAAUCCCCUUCUGUUUUUCUGAGUCAGCCUUGAAGGAGUGAGAGUGAUGGCCCAGGCUGCUAAAGCCGUGGUACUGUAAAGGGAUCUGACUGCCCGGACAGCUGAGGAACAAAUGGCUGAGUUGUGUCCCACAUCAGCACGCUCCUUUCCUCCAAACAACCACCAAAGGAGAGAAUGCACAAACAACAAGUCCUUCCCAGCAUAUAAAUGAUCUGAAGAGGGCUUCAGAGAGCCAGUCUUUCAACAGCAGCAGUGUACUCCUCUCAGUACACUAACAAAGGCUGACAGACAGAUGUGCGGUGCACAUCCGCAGCACCUCUGGGAGAGCGGCAAUGGGCGAAAGAUGCCAGAGAGCAGACAGCUGUCAGGCUCGAGCGAUGCAUCCCGAGCAACCUCCCCGUCAACCAGGAGGACAGCGAAGGAGGCUGCGUUUGACCUGCCAAUACUGCUGUCAGAGGCGCCAGAACUGUGGACACUCCCACCUCUUAUCAGUCAGCAGUGGAGUUCAGCCGAGGAACCUACAGGCAGGCUUUAUGGCAGCUGAAAAAGCUGGAGGCGACACUCUGCUGAUGGGAGAGAGAUGAAAAAGAGGCUUCCUCUCAUCAUGCCUUCAUCACCAUAGCACCGGAGGAUGCCGAGAGAGGCAGAGAAUUAUGGCAGCUCCGGGGAGAGUAAAUCUUCAAGACCCGCUCUCUCUCAUGCUCCCAGGUUUGACCAUUAAUUUAAAUCACAGCGGGAGGGGAGGGGGUUUGUGCACAUCUGUGUAGAUGCCGGCUGGAGCUGAAUUAGUGUGACCAUGUACUGUGUAAGCCGAGCGAAUGAGGGAUCGGAUUGCUCGCAAAGAUGAGGAGGGAUAAACCACCGACAAGCAUCACCAGCUGAUACAGA
Long non-coding RNA from Acanthopagrus latus (yellowfin seabream), 987 nucleotides. RefSeq lists it as uncharacterized. The record is from RefSeq and is a predicted model, not a curated record. The transcript is spliced from 3 exons. Lineage: Eukaryota; Metazoa; Chordata; Actinopteri; Spariformes; Sparidae.